RNAcentral lists this ribosomal RNA (267 nucleotides) under uncultured bacterium. Its description in RNAcentral is "partial 16S ribosomal RNA". It matches the Rfam family "Bacterial small subunit ribosomal RNA", at positions 332 to 597 of the family's 1533-position model. The record is from RNAcentral.
UGAACCUACGGGAGGCAGCAGUGAGGAAUAUUGGUCAAUGGGCGGAAGCCUGAACCAGCCAAGUCGCGUGAGGGAAGAAGGCCCUGCGGGUCGCAGACCUCUUUGGACGGGGAGCAAGGCCGCCGACGUGUCGGCGGAAGGAGAGUACCCGUAGAACAAGCAUCGGCUAACUCCGUGCCAGCAGCCGCGGUAAUACGUAGGGGGCUAGCGUUAUCCGGAAUUACUGGGCGUAAAGGGUGCGUAGGUGGUUUCUUAAGUCAGAGGUGA